UACGGAGGAUGCGAGCGUUAUCCGGAUUUAUUGGGCGUAAAGCGAGCGCAGGUGGUUUAUUAAGUCUGGUGUAAAAGGCAGUGGCUCAGCCAUUGUAUGCAUUGGAAACUGGUAGACUUGAGUGCAGGAGAGGAGAGUGGAAUUCCAUGUGUAGCGGUGAAAUGCGUAGAUAUAUGGAGGAACACCGGUGGCGAAAGCGGCUCUCUGGCCUGUAACUGACACUGAGGCUCGAAAGCGUGGGGAGCAAACAGG
Molecule: ribosomal RNA, 252 nt
Filed under: uncultured bacterium
Lineage: Bacteria
Description: partial 16S ribosomal RNA
Rfam family: Bacterial small subunit ribosomal RNA
Source: RNAcentral